UGGCCACAUCACAUUGAUACACCAAUUCCCAUAUGAUCACUGAAGUUAAGCAAUGUCAAGCUUGGUCAGUACCUAGAUGGGUGACCAAUUGGGUAUACCAGAUG
Molecule: non-coding RNA, 104 nt
Organism: Acanthosepion pharaonis
Lineage: Eukaryota; Metazoa; Mollusca; Cephalopoda; Sepiida; Sepiidae
Source: the annotation of a GenBank genome assembly